CUAGUAUGUUCUGUGAGCAUCUAUACUGCAUGUCAUCAGAAUGUCUUUAGACCACCAAAGGUGAAACUGCCAUCUAUUAGACCACGAAGCACAAGGAGUAUCAGAAGAAACUUCCAAAGUUGCCAUACUCUGAGAGUAUCUUGUCCUAAACUGGGUAACACUGAUAUGUUAUCGGAGUGUUGGGAGAAACCAUUGAAACCAUUUAAAAGAAAAAUCUUUACA
This 222-nucleotide long non-coding RNA is filed under the name Numida meleagris (helmeted guineafowl). RNAcentral's name for it is "lncRNA (ENSNMEG00000001221.1)". The record is from RNAcentral. Lineage: Eukaryota; Metazoa; Chordata; Aves; Galliformes; Numididae.